GAAAUCAGCCCUCAGUUUCAAGUGACAGGCAGACAGCAGCCAGGCUGGGAAAGCAGCAGUAGGAUAAUUUCUGAUAGUCAAGUUAUCCAGAAGCCCACAACUUUACCUUAAGUAAUGAUGCAAUCAAUUUGAAACAAACUCGGGGAACGCCGAAGGACGAUGGCAUCCGCACGUGAGAGAGGUGCUGCGAAGCGCUCUUUCCGAGAGGUUUUUCGGGGAGGGCGAUGCACUAAACCCUCCGCUCCGUCUCAGAAUCCCCCCGGGCAGCGGCAGCUGAAGCUCCCCGGUCGCUUUCUCCGGGAGGCCCCGGUCUGUGCCGCUGGGGCUGCGCGGGGCCCCGCGGGAGAUGCGCGGCUGCGGAGCCCCCGUGCCCUGCGGCAGCCGCGCCGGGCGGGCGGUGCGCUUCGCAUCCCCGGCGUUUAUUCCUUAAUGCCUUAAAAUAAAAAAACCCGGCCGAUUUCUCAACAAGCGCAUUUUCAUAGACUUGUGCAUGGUGAUUGCUUUGUAUGAAAUCGUGUUGGAGUAAUAAUAUUGAAAAUCAGUGCAGUGUUUACUUUAUUUCAUACCUAACAGCUUGUUUUGCGCGGUGCUAUCCUCCUCUUUAGAUCUCCCUUUCAGCCCAUGCUGUGACUGUCCUCUGGUAACAAACAAUUGCUUAGCAACACUAUGCAGCAC
Long non-coding RNA from Cygnus atratus (black swan), 675 nucleotides. RefSeq lists it as uncharacterized. NCBI's taxonomy places the organism in Eukaryota, Metazoa, Chordata, Aves, Anseriformes, Anatidae. The transcript has 3 exons. The record is from RefSeq and is a predicted model, not a curated record.